UCAAUGAGCUCAAGUACCGUUGAAAAUGUUAAUUUAAAAGUAUUGGUGGCAAGUGAUAGUUCUUUUUCAGAUGAGGGAGUAAUGGGAGAUGACGGUGAAACAACAUGGUCAAGUGAAACAAUCAAUAACCAAUCCAAAGAUAAAGACAGCGAUGAUGAAAGCAACAUUGAAGAGUCAUGUAUGACAUCAUAAUAGACUUUAACCAAAAUAUAAUACAUGCACAUGCACAUGCAUGUAUUACAUGUAUGACUGAUAAUAUGAUUCAACGUAACAGAUCAUGAAUCACAACUUUGCCGGAACUUUU
This is a long non-coding RNA of Daphnia pulicaria, 304 nucleotides long. RefSeq lists it as uncharacterized. The record is from RefSeq and is a predicted model, not a curated record. Lineage: Eukaryota; Metazoa; Arthropoda; Branchiopoda; Diplostraca; Daphniidae. The transcript is spliced from 3 exons.